Molecule: ribosomal RNA, 253 nt
Filed under: uncultured bacterium
Lineage: Bacteria
Description: partial 16S ribosomal RNA
Rfam family: Bacterial small subunit ribosomal RNA
Source: RNAcentral
UACGUAGGGUGCAAGCGUUAAUCGGAAUUACUGGGCGUAAAGCGUGCGCAGGCGGCUUUGCAAGACAGAUGUGAAAUCCCCGGGCUUAACCUGGGAACUGCAUUUGUGACUGCAUGGCUGGAGUGCGGCAGAGGGGGAUAGAAUUCCGCGUGUAGCAGUGAAAUGCGUAGAUAUGCGGAGGAACACCGAUGGCGAAGGCAGCCUUCUGGGCCAACACUGACGCUCAUGCACGAAAGCGUGGGGAGCAAACAGG